GAUUCUGGCUCAGGAUGAACGCUAGCUACAGGCUUAACACAUGCAAGUCGAGGGGCAUCAGUUUGGUUUGCUUGCAAACCAAAGCUGGCGACCGGCGCACGGGUGAGUAACACGUAUCCAACCUGCCUCAUACUCGGGGAUAGCCUUUCGAAAGAAAGAUUAAUACUGGAUAGCAUAACGAGAAGGCAUCUUCUUGUUAUUAAAGAAUUUCGAUAAUCGAUGGGGAUGCGUUCCAUUUAG
This 240-nucleotide ribosomal RNA is filed under the name uncultured bacterium. Its description in RNAcentral is "partial 16S ribosomal RNA". It matches the Rfam family "Bacterial small subunit ribosomal RNA", at positions 15 to 245 of the family's 1533-position model. The record is from RNAcentral.